UGCGUGUGCGCGCAGGAAGGAAGGGCCCUUCCGGCGGGACGCCCGGGCCAAAACCUCGUUUGUCCCGCUGCCUUAACCAAGAAGCUUGAGGAGCAGCAGGAGAGGCGGCGUGUGCCCUGUCGGCAGUGCUGAAGUAGCACGGAGACACUGGGGCACAGACGGAUGAGAGGCUGUGCCAAGAUCAGCGCUGGCUGGGCCACCAAAACUGCUGCACAGGCAGCAUCCAGAGAGAAUGGAAUUUGUCACAUCAACACUGAUACUGCAGCUAAGCUUCAGUGCUUUAUAUGGGACUGUUUGGUGGAAGAGGAAACUGCAGUACUGAAAGCAGUCGGUGCUUGAAUGCAUGAGACCAUGACCUCUCACAGAAAGCAAAGAAUGUCUUCAGAAACUUAAAGAAAUACAAACUCAGUUAAAUCCUUUCAAGGUUCUUCUUCACAAGGCAACAAUAAACCAGUGUUUCACUUUUC
Molecule: long non-coding RNA, 467 nt
Filed under: Columba livia (rock pigeon)
Lineage: Eukaryota; Metazoa; Chordata; Aves; Columbiformes; Columbidae
Description: partial uncharacterized LOC102090292, transcript variant X2
Source: RNAcentral